RNAcentral lists this ribosomal RNA (292 nucleotides) under uncultured bacterium. Its description in RNAcentral is "partial 16S ribosomal RNA". It matches the Rfam family "Bacterial small subunit ribosomal RNA", at positions 333 to 622 of the family's 1533-position model. The record is from RNAcentral.
CGUACCCUACGGGGCGCAGCAGUAAGGAAUAUUGGUCAAUGGUCGGGAGACUGAACCAGCCAAGCCGCGUGAGGGAUGAAGGUACAGAGUAUCGUAAACCUCUUUUGUCAGGGAACAAAGGCGGGGACGCGUCCCCGGAUGAGUGUACCUGAAGAAAAAGCAUCGGCUAACUCCGUGCCAGCAGCCGCGGUAAUACGGAGGAUGCGAGCGUUAUCCGGAUUUAUUGGGUUUAAAGGGUGCGCAGGCGGUUUGUUAAGUCAGCGGUCAAAACCCGGGGCUCAACCCCGGCCCG